AGGACAGGAUCAGGGGAGGAGGGCCUGAGGGGCUUAUGAGGAGGUGCCAAGCAGCUGUUGCAGCUUAAAGACUGGAGCAAGAAUUCUUGAAGAGCCCAUGUGGCUGGGCAAAUACCUGGGAUUUGUCGAGAAAUUCCACCUUCAAAAGUCCCUCGUCUUCAACAUAGCUGACCAGUGUCCCCUCAAUGAGGCCACUGCUUGAUGCUUCCAUGAGUCUCUCCACCUUCUACUGCUUCAGCCUCCUUCCAUUUUCUCACCAUGGCCACCAGCUCAGGAAGCCCCUCUGUCCCUCCUAGGGGCCUGGAGCCCUGAGCCUGGAGCUGACCCUGGCCAGCUUUGACCUCACCCACUUUCUCUCUGUGGUAAUCAACCCCAUCAAACACAAAAAUAGACACCCAAGGCUCCCAGCCUGGUCUAUGGCUGAAGGAAUAUUCUGGAGGCUUAUGACCUAUGAGCUUGAAAGAAGGUGAGCAAACCUGUGUUCAGAAAACGCCCCAUUCUUGCACACAAAAAUGUUUCUUGGGGGAUGAGGAGUGGCCCAGGGGCGGGAUGCUUGCCCAACACACUCAAGACCAUCUUUGGUAGCAAGUAAAAAGAGUGAUUUGAAU
Molecule: long non-coding RNA, 608 nt
Filed under: Mus pahari (shrew mouse)
Lineage: Eukaryota; Metazoa; Chordata; Mammalia; Rodentia; Muridae
Description: lncRNA (MGP_PahariEiJ_G0003244.1)
Source: RNAcentral